Molecule: long non-coding RNA, 262 nt
Filed under: Hordeum vulgare
Lineage: Eukaryota; Viridiplantae; Streptophyta; Magnoliopsida; Poales; Poaceae
Description: long non-coding RNA (HVUL_LNC018233)
Source: RNAcentral
GCAGCUGCCCGAUCCGCCGUGGUGUUGUUGUUCAAUAUAGAGCCCAAAUCGUGAGGGAACUCCUAUAGCUGCUUUUUGACGAAGAGGAUAAAUCAACUCCAAAGUAGAUCGACUAGUACGAGAGAGAGUUAAAUCGGGAGCAACGAGUAUUACUAGAUAACACACGGGCACAGGAGGCGGAUUAAAAAAAGAUGGCAAGGCCACGUCCUGGAGAUGGAGCUGGAUACGAACAUGGAUUCUCCAAUCCAACAACGACCUGGAG